Molecule: long non-coding RNA, 1110 nt
Filed under: Sus scrofa (pig)
Lineage: Eukaryota; Metazoa; Chordata; Mammalia; Artiodactyla; Suidae
Description: lncRNA (ENSSSCG00070015748.1)
Source: RNAcentral
GUUUACUGGAGGCUUAGCCAAAGCUUUUCCCUUCUCAGUUUUCAGUGCCCCAGAUUCCCAAGACAGAUGAGCAGGAGGAAGGAAUCCAAACUUCUAGAAACAGCUCAUCUUCCCUUGUGCUUGCCGCACUGGGUGCUUGGUGUGGGCUGGUGGCGUGUGUGUGUGUGUGUGUGUGUGUGUGUGUGUGUGUGUGUGUGCGCGCGCAGGAAUAUGCAGACCUCAGGGUUUCUAAGUGCCCGGCCACGGUCUGGUCUUGAUUAGGCAGGCGGAGGGAAGUGGGUCCACAGCAGCGAUCAGAGCUGCUGCAUCCAGCUGUGAGGCUGCAGAGCCAGAAACGCGUGCGACCUGAAAGGGAACACAUUUCUAGAGGGCCUCGGGCCAAGGUGGAGGUGAUGAGGGCAGGAUGCGGAGGCCAGCGGAGGACAAGUGCUGACUGGCAUGGGGAUGCUAUGGGUGGGGGGACGGUCAGGAAUUAGCAGCUGAUUUCAAGCGUUGGGAGGAGGUGCGGAGACAAGGAGGCAGCGGCUGGGGUGAUUCCAGAGUAAUUAGGGUGGAAAAUUCUGGAGCAUCCUCGCUGCUUCCCUCAGGACAGAGGCUGCGUGUUUCUCAGCUCUGUCCUGGCAGCGGCUGGCGGAGCAUGUGUGGGCUUCAUUGAAUACGCUGCCCGAGUGUCUUGCAGCUUUUCCCAGGCGUCUUCUGUGUCUCCUGGUCCCCACGGCUGCAACUUCGACAACUGAGUUCUCUUGCUCUGGCUGCAUUUCAGGACAAGAGCAUGCCUGCUUGAGGUGCCUAGAAUCCUGGCUGGACCCAAAACACUGCAGACUACUUGGUUUCUGUCCAAGGACAGCCCCAAUGGCCUGGACAGGCCUUUUUUCAUCGAGAACAUGGAGUAAACCCGUGGAGAAACCCCAAACUCCGAGACCAGAUCUGGAAAGAACUUUCUUGGCCCAAACUCACCCUUGGAUCAUCUCCAUUUCAUCCUCACGGCGUCAGCGUCCUUAUUUCCUUGUCUGUAAACGGAAGCAAAGUUGGACAGAGGUGUCUGUGACCUUGGACCCAGGGAGAUUUGGCCUCUAUUCCAGGAACUGCAGCUCUCUCUCCAGGAGGUGA